Chinchilla lanigera (long-tailed chinchilla) is the source of this 1628-nucleotide long non-coding RNA. RefSeq lists it as uncharacterized. Lineage: Eukaryota; Metazoa; Chordata; Mammalia; Rodentia; Chinchillidae. The record is from RefSeq and is a predicted model, not a curated record. The transcript has 3 exons.
GCUCUGUUGCUCUGCUUCAGAGCCUUUCCCCCAGCUUCCUAAAUGUCUGUUUGUGCAUUUUAACUCAGCAGGUGCCAAACGGUGUCACAGAUUCGGGUCUCAUUUUUCUGGAUCUGAACCAAUUGUACUCAGCUGGAGACACCUAGGUGCUAGAUGCUUUCCAGCUUGGUGACUCUGCAGAAAGGAGGAGGCCAGGCCCUGCUCUUGGAGGCGUGGGUGAUGGGAUAGCCACGGAACGCAGAAAGCUUCUCCACUCUCACCUCCAGCCCCUGCAGAUAAUACCCACCGAGUCUACUCCGUAUCUGUCCACCGUAACAAAAUAUUUGAGGCUGGGCACUUUAUAAAGAGAAGAGUGUUGUUCAGUUCACUGUUUUGGAGAUUCAGGAGUGUGACACCAACCUCUGCAGUGGUCUGGUGAGAAUUUUGGGCCACAACACCACAUGGUGGUGGCUGCAUGACAGCAACAAAUAGACAGAGUCAGAUGGGAACCUUGAGGUACUGAGGGGCCAGGCCCACUUCUGAUAUCAACGUGACUAACCAGGGUCCCACAAGAAUUACAGUAACCCUGUCAACCCAAUGUCUUAAUUGCCUUCAGCAGAUCUUACCUCUUCACAGGUUCCUCCACUUAGCACCGCCACACUGAGGGCCAGGCUUCCAGCACGUGAAUUCUUAGGGACACACUCAAAUCAUGCCACACCACAGCACGUUCCAAACCUGUCCCACCUUGUCAUCCCCUGCUUAGACUUUUCCAAAGACUGCCCUGUCACACAGGAGAAAGUCUGAGCCCUUAAGCCUCAUAUGCCAUGAGCUCUGCUUUAUUCCAACACUGCUCCUUCCCAAGCCUCAUCGCCCUUCUAUCCCUUUCUCUCUUCUGCUCCACACAAAGGAUGUACAGACUGACUCCAGGCACACUAUACUAUUAAUUUUCCCUGGCCUUAAAACAAAACUUCCUGUGCCCUGAAGGCCUUCCCACUCCCCUGGCAGCAGACUUCUACUGAAUACUGUUCAAGACCCCCAGGAGCACUUCUGCAUUAUCCCUCAUGUCCAAGCAGAAAGGAUUUCUCCUUUCCUAUGACCCACCACAUCUUGCACUGUCUGCUGCUUCUAGCACUUUAUGAGUGCACAUAUACACUCUUGAGUCUGUGGCAGCCACUGAAUACUAUUCCCAGAGUCCACUUCUGUUUUCUGUAAGACAAGGCCAUUUCCCAGAGUUGCUGCAGAAAAGUUUCUGGGUGCAUAUUCAACUCACCAAUAUCUGUCUAUGUAUAGGACAUGAAGAGCAAAGGAGAGAGAUGUUGAGAUAUUUCCUACUGGCAAGUACAGUGAUGAGACAGGAAGUUUCUCUGCAUCAUAAACCGGUAACCAGCCAAUCAUUUUAUGAUUGUCAAGAGUAGAUUUUAACAGCAGCAAUAACAGCUUCGCAUCACUGGAUUUCUGAUUCUUAGACUGCAAGUAUAUGGUAUGUUAUGGGCUCUGGAACCUAGACCCCAGUAAUUACCUAGUUUUGGGCUUUCUGAUUGGCUGCUUCCCUGAUGGGGCAGAGGUAAUCCCUCUUUGGAAGUCAUCCCUGGAACCUAUAAUCUACUCCUCCAGCCCUUAGAGUGAUUUAACCCUCCUAUUAAAAUCCU